CCGGCGAUUUCCGAAUGGGGAAACCCAGUGUGUUUCGACACACUAUCAUUAACUGAAUCCAUAGGUUAAUGAGGCGAACCGGGGGAACUGAAACAUCUAAGUACCCCGAGGAAAAGAAAUCAACCGAGAUUCCCCCAGUAGCGGCGAGCGAACGGGGAGGAGCCCAGAGCCUGAAUCAGUGUGUGUGUUAGUGGAAGCGUCUGGAAAGGCGCGCGAUACAGGGUGACAGC
This 230-nucleotide ribosomal RNA is filed under the name Escherichia coli. RNAcentral's name for it is "partial 23S ribosomal RNA". It matches the Rfam family "Bacterial large subunit ribosomal RNA", at positions 104 to 371 of the family's 2925-position model. The record is from RNAcentral. Lineage: Bacteria; Pseudomonadati; Pseudomonadota; Gammaproteobacteria; Enterobacterales; Enterobacteriaceae.